UUGGUAGUAAAGGAGGAUGAUGCAUUUCUUUUCCAAUAUUUGACAUCCAUUUGUUUAUAAUGAUUUCAUCAACUGAAUCUUGAAGUUUGAAAAAAGUACCUUGAAAGGAUACCCACAGAAAGCUUAUAAAAUAAACAUACAUGUGUAUGAUACAUGUGAAUAGCUAGAUCAUUGUGUAUGAUACAUGUGAAUAGCUAGAUCAUGCGGAAUAUGUUAGGUUUGCCAAUAUUAGGUUUGGCUAAGGAGGCUUCGAGCUAAACAUAUUAUAGUAGCAAGUUAGGUAGGUG
RNAcentral lists this long non-coding RNA (287 nucleotides) under Elaeis guineensis (African oil palm). RNAcentral describes it as "long non-coding RNA (EGUI_LNC002954)". The record is from RNAcentral. Lineage: Eukaryota; Viridiplantae; Streptophyta; Magnoliopsida; Arecales; Arecaceae.